Molecule: long non-coding RNA, 594 nt
Organism: Oncorhynchus masou masou (cherry salmon)
Lineage: Eukaryota; Metazoa; Chordata; Actinopteri; Salmoniformes; Salmonidae
Exons: 3
Source: RefSeq, a predicted model, not a curated record
GGCGCGCUGAUUCUGACCCACGUGGCAUGACGUCCUGCUUGAUGUGUUCAGCAGCGAAUAGCAGUCUGUGAAGCCGUUUUAUAGAGUUACUAUUCAACAACAGAAGAGACAUGUCUCAGUUACAAACAAGGUUCUUUACGGAUAACAAAAAAUAUUCAGUCGAUGACGUCCCAUUCUCCAUCCCUGCUGCCUCAGAGGUGCAGGAACUCAGCAACGUCAUCAACAAGCUGCUGGAAGCAAAGAAUGACCUUGAUGACUACCUCCACAGUCACUACACUUGAUGCUUGUCCUCCAGACGUCUUCACUAAAUGGAAAGCUCCACCCCUACCACAUCUCAGCUGGACCUUUCUACACACUGACGCCACAUGGCCAAACUUCUGGCACUAACUGGAUAACUGUCCUAAGAACACCCUAUCAGGGAGAACCUCAUGGCACAGCAUCGGGGCCAGACUCUCCUGCCUCCAGCCACUAUCUAGCACAGCAUCAGGGCCAGACUCUCCUGCCUCCAGCCACUAUAUAGCACAGCAUUGGGCCAGACUCUCCUGCCUCCAGCCACUAUAUAGCACAGCAUCGGGGCCAGACUCUCCUGCCUCC